This is a non-coding RNA of Pogona vitticeps (central bearded dragon), 2560 nucleotides long. The record is from RefSeq and is a predicted model, not a curated record. Lineage: Eukaryota; Metazoa; Chordata; Lepidosauria; Squamata; Agamidae.
UGUAACACCGAUAAUUAUUUUAAUAGUCAUUAACAAACAGUAAUUAGGCAGAACUCCAACGUUCCUGCAUGGAUUAUUCACAGUGCUGUGUGAUUUUAAAAAGAACAAGGUUGUCACUAUCCAGGCUCCCAGAGAUAAGAGUGGAUGAUUUCUUCCUUCAGGUUUUCUGGCAUGGAAACCUAUCUUUGACGUGAUUUUGUAAAACAAUGGUCACGUUGGGGACCAAGACAGAAUGUCCUAGCUAGGCUAGUAUGUUCGUUCGUUCCAUUCAUUCAUUCAAAUGUUUACAGAUCACUUGAAUGCUGCCAUUUUUGAUGUCAGAUUUGUGAUGGUUUAUUUCUUCUGCGUAAAGACUGGCCGGAGCAGAAUUGAUCGCUAACAGAGGAUGGCGAACAUCCCACUGGUGGUGGAAGAGGUCUGUGAAGCCAUGAUGUUGUCAAUGACGAUUUUGCUGCCGUUCCCAUUGCUUCCUACUUUUCCACUAUAGGAUGUCAUGACCUCCAAAAAGAUCUACAGUCCAGCAAGGGACUUCCUGGGGAUGUACGGUCAAAUCGAAACCUUCCGAGCCCUGAAAGCAACAUUUUUAGAGACAGUGCUGGAGGUAGAGACCCAAAGGGUUCUGGCACAGCCCGAAGGAGAAACUGACAAGCCUUCUUUCUGCCCGGGGGUGUGUGUGGGUCAUUUCUAGUCAAACAGGUUUUUGAAACAGCAAAAAGGCCUUGUUGUUCAGCUCAGAAAAUGACAAGUGUACUACUUAUCAAUUUUUGAAAUGAUUUCCAUUGAGAGUGUCAGCCUUCUCUUACAGGUAUGGGGAUGAUGUGCCAUGUAGUCUGGAGGAAAACAGGCUGAGGAAAACAGCCCCGAUUUACUCUUUUAAGGCCUUGGCUGAUAUGGAUGGCCUCUCUGCCUGGGUUUCAAAAAACCCCAUAAUCCACGGCGUGGUGGCCAGGAGCAGUGGAAGUUGUCAUUCAACAUAUUGGGAAGACAGAGAGAGAGGCAAACUUAUUCAUAAGACAGCUUGCUAUAUUUAUUUGCCCCGUACAUACUUCGUUUUUCCUCCAGUAAGCGCAAGGUGGAGAGCGUGGCUGUCUUCCUCAUGACAACCCAACGAGGAAACUCUGACAGAGAAGAAGCCAGCCUGGAUAGGGGGGUUUCAUGAUGGAGGAGCCACCACAGACUAAGCCCUGCUACUCAAUAUUCUAGCUUCCCUCGGGUGACAGAACUUUUUGAAAUCUGUUUCAAAAAGAUGAACACUGAUACAGGAAUGGGGGGAGCAUGGUUUUCUUUUUUAAGAUCAAAACAGGCUGAAGAACACCCUUUUGUACAAUUCGAAUGCAAAUAAAGUAAAGAAAAAGUCUUCCUGAGCAUCUUGCUAAUAAGGUAUGUGGAGUUGCUCUCAGAUCAAUAUACUGUAAGCUAGUUUUUGGUCUCUGAAUUACAGCCCAAGGGGCACAGCACUAGAGGAAAAACAGGACGGGGAGGGAGAAGGAAAAUGCAGGGUCGGGCGCCUGCUUUUAUACCGUUCUAAUAAGAAGUAGCUGCAAUGGAAAGAGUUUAGGUAUGAUGAUGGAAUGGCUAUUGCUAAUUUACAGGGGAGGAGGGGAGCCAAAAGGACCUUGGGCCCGUCCUGAAGGCCUCAAAUCUAUGUAAGUGGCAUACAGUAUAAUUGAAUGGAUUAAUGCUAGGCCUUUUUGGAAGAAAAAAACUCCCAAUACAGUGUAUUUCAAAUAUUAUUCCUUAGGGCUGCCUUUUCCUUUGACAUCUUGAGAGUCUUCAUAUCUCAGCACUGUUGGAAAAAUCGAGGGGGAAAAAGAAAGAAGAUAAAUGAGCUCACUGUAGAUCAGGAAGAAAAAUUCUUGAAUGCGAGAAGAGAGGUAACGCCCGCGGGACAAACAUGGGACCGAAACAUCUCUUUUGAUUUGAAACAGGCUCCAGAAAUUCUUGUUAUAAAGACACUGCAUUUGAAUGACAGCAGGAAACGCACAGAGAUACUGUAUGUCUAAGUAGACCAACCUUUUUAAAAGCUGAAGGAGAAAAGCCCAGAGGUUCGUUCUGGGAAAUGCCCUUCGUUACAAAUAGGACUGGGUUCAAGAGACAUCUGAGCCUGGAACUGGGAGACUUUUUUUUAACAUUUUGAAUCAGGAGAAAAACACAGCCCUGCAGCGCCUGUUCAUACCGUCAGCUUAUCCACUGCACGUUACAACCACCCAUCGUUUGCUCUGUUCACAGCCGACGGCUGCUACAUUUAUUAAAAACACUUCCACUUGAAUAUGUUGGAGCAGCAGCUUGGUACAGAAAACUGGCCUCAAAGGUCCCUAAUAUUCUGGUGCAACUAAGAGUGGCAGGUACCACUUGGUUUUUAAGACCUGUUGCCGAUCAACUCAAGAGUUGUACACAUUGACUAACAUUUUAAGCAGGGAGACACGGUUCAACCUUCUUCCCACUUGGCUUCUUGCUCCUUCCUCAUCCCUUUACGCCGCCUCGGACAGCCAGAUGGUUUUUCAGCCACAUGAAACCGGUUUUCCCCGAAAAACCUACGCGUUGGAUGCAAAAAAAUAUU